AACCCUAUAGUAUAUAAAUAAUGUUAAAUUGCAAAUUUGAAGAUGUGUAAAUCACUGGGGU
Molecule: transfer RNA, 61 nt
Filed under: Arcotheres purpureus
Lineage: Eukaryota; Metazoa; Arthropoda; Malacostraca; Decapoda; Pinnotheridae
Description: tRNA-Cys
Source: RNAcentral